AUACCUCAAGCUCUGCUUGGUGUUGACAGCGCAAUGCGCUGCCGAAACGCAGCGGCGACGUAGCCGGCCCCUGGCGCAGUGACUUGCUCGCCCGGUGUCGGUCGUGCGUUUGCCGGACAACGCCCCUAUUCU
Molecule: unclassified non-coding RNA, 132 nt
Filed under: uncultured Cryptodiscus
Lineage: Eukaryota; Fungi; Ascomycota; Lecanoromycetes; Ostropales; Stictidaceae
Description: sequence contains ITS2
Source: RNAcentral